GUAUUGGACAACCAUGGCUUUUACGGGUAACGGAGAAUUAGGGUUCGAUUCCGGAGAGGGAGCCUGAGAAACGGCUACCACAUCUAAGGAAGGCAGCAGGCGCGUAAAUUACCCAAUCCUGAUUCAGGGAGGUAGUGACAAGAAAUAACGGACAGAGACCUUUGGUUUCUGGAUUGCAAUGAGCCGAAUUUACACCCCUUAGCGAGGACCAAUUGGAGGGCAAGUCUGGUGCCAGCAGCCGCCGUAAUUCCAGCUCCAAUAGCGUAUAUUAAAGUUGUUGCAGUUAAAAAGCUCGUAGUUGGAUUUCUGAGAAGUUGCCGAUGUCCGCUCUUAUGCGUGUGCAGAGGCGGCUUUUCAUCCUUCUGUUAACACUUCUCGGCAUUCAUUUGCUGGUUGUGGGCUCAGAUAUUUUACCUUGAGAAAAUUAGAGUGUUUCAGGCAGGCUAGGCCGGAAUACAUUAGCAUGGAAUAAUAGAAUAGGACUACGGUCUCUUUGUUGGUUUGAGGGACUGGAGUAAUGAUUAAUAGGGAUAGUUGGGGGCAUUAGUACUUAACUGUCAGAGGUGAAAUUCUCGGAUUUGUUAAAGACUAACUUAUGCGAAAGCAUUUGCCAAGGAUGUUUUCA
RNAcentral lists this ribosomal RNA (625 nucleotides) under uncultured ciliate. Its description in RNAcentral is "bacterial SSU rRNA". It matches the Rfam family "Eukaryotic small subunit ribosomal RNA", at positions 333 to 972 of the family's 1831-position model. The record is from RNAcentral. Lineage: Eukaryota; Ciliophora.